This 1462-nucleotide long non-coding RNA is filed under the name Gouania willdenowi (blunt-snouted clingfish). Its description in RNAcentral is "lncRNA (ENSGWIG00000003845.1)". The record is from RNAcentral. Lineage: Eukaryota; Metazoa; Chordata; Actinopteri; Blenniiformes; Gobiesocidae.
AGAGACUGUAAAAAACCAAGAACUCACACUCGGCGAGCAACAGAUUGAAAGAGCUCUAGGAGUUCAGUGGUGUGUUGCCUCAGACCAUUUCCAGUUUCGAGUGGUUGUGAAUGAGCAUCCACUAUCCAGAAGAGGUUUGUUGUCGACCGUAGCCUCUAUCUACGACCCACUUGGCUUCGUGGCGCCUUUUGUCCUACUUGGCAAGCAAAUACUACAAGAAAUGUGUCGUGAUAAGAAGGGCUGGGACGAACCACUCUCAAGUGAACUCAAGCCACGGUGGGAGUCUUGGCUGUCAAAUCUUAAAGACCUUGCCGAUGUCAAGAUCAACCGUUGUUACCUUCCAAAAGAUUUUCAAGCAGUUCAGAAACUUCAACUCCACCAUUUCUCAGAUGCAAGUGUUGCAGGUUAUGGAGUUUGUACCUAUUUAAGAGCCAUCAGUGAAUCAGGACAAAUUCAUUGCUCACUUGUGUUUGCUAAGUCCAGAGUAGCACCCACCAAGGUAACUACAGUACCAAGGUUAGAGCUGUCUGCAGCAGUUGUCGCAGUACGCAUAAGUGACAUGCUCAAAGCAGAAUUGGAGAUGGAAAAUGUUGAAGACUUCUUUUGGACGGAUUCGCAAGUUGUUUUGGGAUAUAUUGAUAAUGAAGCAAGACGUUUUCACGUUUUCGUGGCAAACCGCAUCCAGCGUAUUAAAGAGAGUACUAAAUCAACACAGUGGAAGUAUGUUACAUCAGAGGACAAUCCCGCUGAUCAUGCGUCUCGAGGACUAACAGCUAAAAACCUCAUUGCUUCCAACUGGUUUGGUGGACCAAGUUUUCUCUGGAAAGAAGAGCUUCCCAGCAGAGAUAUUAAGGUGAGAGAACUUGAUGCAGUGGACCCAGAGGUACGCAAAUCUGUUGUACACCACACGUUAACAAAGGUGGAUUCUCUGGUAGAACGUUUUAGGAAAUUCUCCAGCUGGUCAAGGCUAGUCAAAGCAAUCGCCAGGCUCAUCAGACUUGUAAACGAGUUUAAGAACGCACAAAGGAGAAACAAUGAAGCCACAAGUCUCGAUGAAAGACAAGAAGCUGAGCUUACAAUCGUAGCUAUUGUGCAAAGAUCAGUCUUCUCCAAAGAAAUCAAAGAGCUUCAGUGUAAAGGGGAGUUGGCUAAAAAUAAGACAAGUAAGCUCUAUCGACUCAAUCCCUUCCUAGACCAUAAGGGCAUCCUCAGAGUAGGAGGUAGGUUAGAGCGAGCUACGUUACAUCCAUACGUCAAACACCCAGCUAUUUUACCAAAGACCAGCCACAUCACAGGGUUACUGAUUGAUCAUUUUCAUCAGCAAGUGCAACAUCAAGGGCGUGGCAUGACAAUUAACGAAUUAAGAGCAAACGGCAUUUGGAUACUUGGAUGUAGUCAAGCAGUGUCAUCCUUUAUCUAUAACUGUGUCAAAUGCAGGAAAUUCAGACGUGGAACAGAAGAG